RNAcentral lists this ribosomal RNA (800 nucleotides) under uncultured bacterium. RNAcentral's name for it is "bacterial SSU rRNA". It matches the Rfam family "Bacterial small subunit ribosomal RNA", at positions 8 to 852 of the family's 1533-position model. The record is from RNAcentral.
AGAGUUUGAUCAUGGCUCAGAACGAACGCUGGCGGCAGGCCUAACACAUGCAAGUCGAACGCGUGUAGCAAUACACGAGUGGCGCACGGGUGAGUAACACGUGGGAAUCAACCCAGAGGUUCGGAAUAACCGCGGGAAACUGCGGCUAAUACCGGAUAUCCCCUACGGGGGAAAGAUUUAUCGCCUUUGGACGAGCCCGCGUCCGAUUAGCUAGUUGGUGAGGUAACGGCUCACCAAGGCUCCGAUCGGUAGCUGGUCUGAGAGGACGACCAGCCACACUGGAACUGAGAUACGGUCCAGACUCCUACGGGAGGCAGCAGUGGGGAAUAUUGGGCAAUGGAGGCAACUCUGACCCAGCCAUGCCGCGUGGGUGACGAAGGUCUUCGGAUUGUAAAGCCCUUUCGGCGGGGACGAUGAUGACGGUACCCGCAGAAGAAGCCCCGGCUAACUUCGUGCCAGCAGCCGCGGUAAUACGAAGGGGGCUAGCGUUGUUCGGAAUUACUGGGCGUAAAGGGCGUGUAGGCGGCCCGUUAAGACAGGUGUGAAAUUCCUGGGCUCAACCCAGGACGUGCGCCUGUGACUGGCGGGCUUGAGUCCGGGAGAGGAUGGUGGAACUCCCAGUGUAGAGGUGAAAUUCGUAGAUAUUGGGAAGAACACCCGUGGCGAAGGCGGCCAUCUGGACCGGUACUGACGCUAAGGCGCGACAGCGUGGGGAGCAAACAGGAUUAGAUACCCUGGUAGUCCACGCCGUAAACGAUGAGUGCUAGACGUUGGGAAGCCUAGCUUUUCAGUGUCGCAGC